Molecule: transfer RNA, 74 nt
Filed under: Jenufa perforata
Lineage: Eukaryota; Viridiplantae; Chlorophyta; Chlorophyceae
Description: tRNA-Met
Rfam family: tRNA
About the family: Transfer RNA (tRNA) molecules are approximately 80 nucleotides in length. Their secondary structure includes four short double-helical elements and three loops (D, anti-codon, and T loops).
Source: RNAcentral
AGCGAUAAAGAGCAAAGGUUAAGCUCGUCGGGCUCAUGCCCCGAAGGUUAUAGGUUCGAAUCCUAUUAUCGCAC